Rhea pennata is the source of this 1063-nucleotide long non-coding RNA. RefSeq lists it as uncharacterized. The record is from RefSeq and is a predicted model, not a curated record. Lineage: Eukaryota; Metazoa; Chordata; Aves; Rheiformes; Rheidae. The transcript has 2 exons.
ACCUGGGUGGGGCGAGGCGGGCUGCGUCACGGCUGGGGCAGGCAGAGGCGUUCCCCGGGGAGCCUCUACUGCGCCGGGAGCACUGAGGCGCGGACGGCGAGACUCGGCCUCGGCGGUGCCCCGAGAGCGGGGCAGUGUCCCAAAUGCUACCGGACUGCUCUGCUACUAAAUUCUGUGUAUAAACAAGUUUGUGAGGAUUUAAGAUAACGUAUAGAGAAGAAAAAAAAUAUACGCUAUUAAAUAUACUCCAACUUAUGCACAAAGAGCCAAGUAACAUUCAUGGGAGUUUGGAUCAGAUGUGCAGUCAUUUACUUCUCAGCAUGCAUAUUGCUAGGUGUAGGGUGACUAAGAGCUCAGCUGGAGAUGAUCAGCAAUCUGGAAGAAAUGGCAUUUCCCAUAUUAGAAACCAUAUGAAAGUGGAAAAGCAUGAUUAAAAUGACAGACCUAGCAGUAGGAAUCAAGAAUACUCCCAAGAGCCCUUGGCAGAGGUCAAAUCUCAUUUUACUAAAAUUAGCUCAAGUAGAUGAACCUAAAACAAAGAAAGAGGACAUGCAAGUGAAUUAAAUCUGUUGUAGUAGAUAUAAAACACCUUCUUUGACUUUUGUUAAUAUUUUAAAACUUGCUUUUUGUGAAACUCUAUACUGCCUCAGCCUGUUUCCUCACUUGAUCAUGUAGCAUAGCCACACCAUGCUUAUUUUAACAUCACAUUAAUUUCUGCAGUAAUAGAUGAUGAUCUCAUUGCAGGAAGAAGUUGCAGAGAGAAAAGGUUCUCUUGGAAUAUCAGUAGUAAAGACAAGAACAAAUACUGUCUUAAGAACUACAUUUUUAUUUGAGGCUUAUUCUUACAGAAAGACUCGUUGAUUUUCUGGGGUUUAUGCAGGAUCUUCUUAAAAAGUUUCAAGCCAUUUUGGUUUAGCUGUUAUGAGAAAUAUUUCGUUCCUCCUGAGAGCUUGUGAAAUUGGUGUGAAGAAUUUGGGUGGAAUCCUCUGAAGUGUGGGAUCUCCCAGGUCUGUGGGGGAUGAUUCUCUGUCAAUAUAUUGUUGUAUAAAGUGGGGAAAACAUU